UUGUUUUCGUUUUCGUUUUCUUUUGAACCAUUGCAGUAUUAAACCCCCAAAUCAUCAUAAUCAUUAAUCAAUCCCUUCAUCAAAAAAAUGCGACCCCGACCUUCUCUUCACUCCAAUUUCUUCUCCUCUCUCAAACAGGUUGAGAAGAGACUGAAACUGGAAGACCCAUCACAACGCCACACCCUCUCGCCACACCCAUCACCAGAGACUAAAGACUUGUAGUCAACAGAAUCUCUAGGCUCACCCAUAUGCCUCCACUUUGACCAAUCCGUUUCCCACGCCUCAACCCUCCAAGAAAACAGUGAACCCCCUCAAGCAUUCCUCUCAAGUUCCCCACAAACCCAACCUCAAUCCGACGGCCUAGGGCACCCCAAAACCGUAGUUGAAACUGAAAACGAAGCAGUUGACGAUAUAAUACAGCUCCUGGGUUUAUCAGAUUGGGAGGAGAAAGAAGAAGAGGCAGAAAGAGGGAGAGCUGGUUUGGGUGGUGGCAGUUCUUGUGAUUGGGAAGAUGGGUUUUAUGCAAAGAUUGUUGGGGUGAAGGGCCCAAAGUGUAGAAAGGAAGAGGAGAGGUUGGAGGCGUGGAUUGAGUAUUUUACGAAUGGUUGUGGCGUGGAGGAGAGGGAGGAGCCUUUGAGGUUGGCAUAUUUGCUUUUGGGUAAGGCUGCUUUUGUUUCCGAGGAUGCUGGUUGUGGCUUUGGAGGCAUGGAAUCUCCUUCAAGUACAAAGGAAUUUUUGCAGAAUGAUCCUCCUAAGGCCUAACGAGCAAGGGAAUAUUUCAUAUUUCCCUUUUGUACCCUUUAAUGCAAUUUUAGUGUCAGCAUUUGUAUAAAAAAAAUGUGAGCACUUUCAACAUGAAAAUGAUCAACUUGUUUUGGUGGAAUUCAUCAUUGAUGGUGAUUGUUGAAUCUUGGAUCAGGACGUACAUGUUAAGCAAUUAUUUUUCUUUUCCCUUGUUUGUUUUGUUCAUAAGAUGUUAUAUAUAAAUUCAUUUGGCCUUA
Alnus glutinosa is the source of this 1001-nucleotide long non-coding RNA. RefSeq lists it as uncharacterized. The record is from RefSeq and is a predicted model, not a curated record. The transcript is spliced from 2 exons. NCBI's taxonomy places the organism in Eukaryota, Viridiplantae, Streptophyta, Magnoliopsida, Fagales, Betulaceae.